This 235-nucleotide long non-coding RNA is filed under the name Elaeis guineensis (African oil palm). RNAcentral describes it as "long non-coding RNA (EGUI_LNC028985)". Lineage: Eukaryota; Viridiplantae; Streptophyta; Magnoliopsida; Arecales; Arecaceae. The record is from RNAcentral.
AGUGUUAUAUCAAAAUGAUCGCAAGAUUGAUAGAAAUUGGUGUUUUGUCAUUUAUUUUAUGAAACUCAUACAUAAGAUAUUGGAGAGGAAAAUCUUGAUGUUUGCUCUAUAAGAGAGGAGAGAGAAGAUGUGAGGGAUAAAGAUACUACAGCAUGUGGUGACUUAGAAUAUAGAUUACACCAUAAUUUUGGAAAUAGGAUAAAGAUACUACAGCAUGUAGUGACUUACAAUAUAG